UACGUAGGGGGCGAGCGUUGUCCGAAGUUACUGGGCGUAAAGCGCGCGUAGGCGGGCUGUUAAGUCGGAAGUGAAAGGCUGGGGCUCAACCUCACUGCAGUGCUUCCGAUACUGGCAGUCUUGAGGGCGGUAGGGAGAGGUGGAAUGGCUGGUGUAGCGGUGAAAUGCGUAGAUAUCAGUCGGAACACCGGUGGCGAAGGCGGCCUCUUGGGCCGUUCCUGACGCUGAGGCGCGAAAGCCAGGGGAGCGAACGGG
This 255-nucleotide ribosomal RNA is filed under the name uncultured Armatimonadota bacterium. Its description in RNAcentral is "uncultured Armatimonadetes bacterium partial 16S ribosomal RNA". It matches the Rfam family "Bacterial small subunit ribosomal RNA", at positions 524 to 776 of the family's 1533-position model. The record is from RNAcentral. Lineage: Bacteria; Bacillati; Armatimonadota.